Molecule: non-coding RNA, 325 nt
Organism: Pelobates cultripes (western spadefoot toad)
Lineage: Eukaryota; Metazoa; Chordata; Amphibia; Anura; Pelobatidae
Source: the annotation of a GenBank genome assembly
AGGAGACGCCGGGAAAUGGCACAAAAAUGUGAUCUCCCAACCGGUAUAAAAGUUUGGAUGUUGGACAGGAGAAUAUGCACCUUAAUUGUGCUAAAUAUUUUAUGGACCUUCAUUGCUCAGUUAUCAAAUUUGUGUCUAUGCCGACUCUUUUGCUUUGCUUUGGUUGUUAAAGUCUUUUAAACUAUCUCCAACUGAAUCCUUGCUGAAUCCCUGGUGCCAGUGGCUGCAUUAAAGGUGGAGGAGAGGAGACAACCAGAACAAGUUAUUCUGAAAAGCCUAUAUAGUCAGAGCCUGCAAUAUGUGAGUUGAUAAUGGUCACCUAAAA